CCAGGUGACUGGAAAAGCUUGGUAAACCCCGUCCGGUGCAAGACCAAAUAGGGAGGCGUUUGAGGGCUGCCCGCCUGAAGUCUCCGGGUAGGUCGCAUGAGGUGUGCGGCAACGUACAUCCCAGAUGAAUGAUCGCUGCUCUGCAUCAGGGCAACCUGACCAGAGAACAGAAUUCGGCUUAUGGAUUGCUCUCGCCG
This 197-nucleotide RNase P RNA is filed under the name Desulfamplus sp. RNAcentral describes it as "partial RNase P RNA component class A". It matches the Rfam family "Bacterial RNase P class A", at positions 185 to 367 of the family's 367-position model. From Rfam's summary of the family: Ribonuclease P (RNase P) is a ubiquitous endoribonuclease, found in archaea, bacteria and eukarya as well as chloroplasts and mitochondria. Its best characterised activity is the generation of mature 5'-ends of tRNAs by cleaving the 5'-leader elements of precursor-tRNAs. The record is from RNAcentral. Lineage: Bacteria; Pseudomonadati; Thermodesulfobacteriota; Desulfobacteria; Desulfobacterales; Desulfobacteraceae.